CUACGGGCUGCUGCAGUGAGGAAUAUUGCACAAUGGACGAAAGUCUGAUGCAGCGAUGCCGCGUGAACGAAGAAGCUUUGCGGAGUGUAAAGUUCUUUUCUGAGGGAAGAAUGCUCGUUUCGGCGAGAGCGACGGUACCUCAGGAAUAAGCUCCGGCUAACUACGUGCCGGCAGCCGCGGUAAUACGUAGGGAGCAAGCGUUGUCCGGAUUUACUGGGCGUAAAGGGCGUGUAGGUGGAAUGGUCAGUCAAUGGUGAAAUGUACGAGCUUAACUCGUAAAUUGCCUUCGAUACUGCCAUUCUUGAGUGCAGGAGGGGGAAGUGGAAUUCCUGGUGUAGCGGUGGAAUGCGCAGAUAUCAGGAGGAACACCGGUGGCGAAGGCGGCUUCCUGGCCUGACACUGACACUGAGGCGCGAAAGCGUGGGUAGCAAACAGGAUUAGAUACCCUGGUAGUC
Molecule: ribosomal RNA, 455 nt
Filed under: uncultured bacterium
Lineage: Bacteria
Description: partial 16S ribosomal RNA
Rfam family: Bacterial small subunit ribosomal RNA
Source: RNAcentral